UACGGAGGGUGCAAGCGUUGUUCGGAAUUACUAGGCGUAAAGCGCGCGCAGGCGGAUGUUCAAGUCAGAAGUGAAAUCUCGCAGCUCAACUGCGAGGCUGCUUCUGAGACUGUACGUCUGGAGACUGGUAGAGGCUGGUAGAAUUCCCGGUGUAGCGGUGGAAUGCGUAGAUAUCGGGAAGAAUACCCGUGGCGAAGGCGGCCAGCUGGGCCAGAUCUGACGCUGAGGCGCGAAAGCGUGGGGAGCGAACAGG
This 253-nucleotide ribosomal RNA is filed under the name uncultured bacterium. RNAcentral describes it as "partial 16S ribosomal RNA". It matches the Rfam family "Bacterial small subunit ribosomal RNA", at positions 524 to 776 of the family's 1533-position model. The record is from RNAcentral.